RNAcentral lists this ribosomal RNA (304 nucleotides) under uncultured bacterium. RNAcentral's name for it is "partial 16S ribosomal RNA". It matches the Rfam family "Bacterial small subunit ribosomal RNA", at positions 509 to 807 of the family's 1533-position model. The record is from RNAcentral.
CAGCAGUCGCCGCGGGAAUACGUAGGGUGCAAGCGUUAAUCGGAAUUACUGGGCGUAAAGCGUGCGCAGGCGGUUAUAUAAGACAGAUGUGAAAUCCCCGGGCUCAACCUGGGAACUGCAUUUGUGACUGUAUAGCUAGAGUACGGCAGAGGGGGAUGGAAUUCCGCGUGUAGCAGUGAAAUGCGUAGAUAUGCGGAGGAACACCGAUGGCGAAGGCAAUCCCCUGGGCCUGUACUGACGCUCAUGCACGAAAGCGUGGGGAGCAAACAGGAUUAGAUACCCCGGUAGUCCCUGUCUCUUAUAC